RNAcentral lists this ribosomal RNA (1237 nucleotides) under Colletotrichum gloeosporioides. Its description in RNAcentral is "eukaryotic LSU rRNA". It matches the Rfam family "Eukaryotic large subunit ribosomal RNA", at positions 121 to 1389 of the family's 3401-position model. The record is from RNAcentral. Lineage: Eukaryota; Fungi; Ascomycota; Sordariomycetes; Glomerellales; Glomerellaceae.
UCUGGCCCUAGGCCCGAGUUGUAAUUUGCAGAGGAUGCUUUUGGUGCGGUGCCUUCCAAGUUCCCUAGAACGGGACGCCAGAGAGGGUGAGAGCCCCGUACAGUUGGACACCAAGCCUUUGUAAAGCUCCUUCGACGAGUCGAGUAGUUUGGGAAUGCUGCUCAAAAUGGGAGGUAUAUUUCUUCUAAAGCUAAAUACCGGCCAGAGACCGAUAGCGCACAAGUAGAGUGAUCGAAAGAUGAAAAGCACUUUGAAAAGAGGGUUAAACAGCACGUGAAAUUGUUAAAAGGGAAGCGCUUGUGACCAGACUUGCGUCCGGUGAAUCACCCAGCUCUCGCGGCUGGGGCACUUCGCCGGCUCAGGCCAGCAUCAGCUCGCUGUCGGGGACAAAAGCUUCAGGAACGUAGCUCUCUUCGGGGAGUGUUAUAGCCUGUUGCAUAAUACCCUUCGGCGGGCUGAGGUACGCGCUCCGCAAGGAUGCUGGCAUAAUGGUCAUCAGCGACCCGUCUUGAAACACGGACCAAGGAGUCAACCUUAUGUGCGAGUGUUCGGGUGUCAAACCCCUACGCGUAAUGAAAGUGAACGCAGGUGAGAGCUUCGGCGCAUCAUCGACCGAUCCUGAUGUUCUCGGAUGGAUUUGAGUAAGAGCAUAUAGGGUUGGACCCGAAAGAAGGUGAACUAUGCGUGUAUAGGGUGAAGCCAGAGGAAACUCUGGUGGAGGCUCGCAGCGGUUCUGACGUGCAAAUCGAUCGUCAAAUAUGCGCAUGGGGGCGAAAGACUAAUCGAACCUUCUAGUAGCUGGUUUCCGCCGAAGUUUCCCUCAGGAUAGCAGUGUUGAACUCAGUUUUAUGAGGUAAAGCGAAUGAUUAGGGACUCGGGGGCGCUAUAUUGCCUUCAUCCAUUCUCAAACUUUAAAUAUGUAAGAAGCCCUUGUUACUUAAUUGAACGUGGGCAUUCGAAUGUAUCAACACUAGUGGGCCAUUUUUGGUAAGCAGAACUGGCGAUGCGGGAUGAACCGAACGCGAGGUUAAGGUGCCAGAGUAGACGCUCAUCAGACACCACAAAAGGUGUUAGUACAUCUUGACAGCAGGACGGUGGCCAUGGAAGUCGGAAUCCGCUAAGGACUGUGUAACAACUCACCUGCCGAAUGUACUAGCCCUGAAAAUGGAUGGCGCUCAAGCGUCUCACCCAUACCUCGCCCUCAGUGUAGAAACGAUGCGCUGAGGGAGUAGGCGGA